This 200-nucleotide ribosomal RNA is filed under the name uncultured bacterium. Its description in RNAcentral is "partial 16S ribosomal RNA". It matches the Rfam family "Bacterial small subunit ribosomal RNA", at positions 30 to 230 of the family's 1533-position model. The record is from RNAcentral.
AUUGAACGCUGGCGGCAGGCCUAACACUUGCAAGUCGAGCGGUAGAGAGGUGCUUGCACCUCUUGAGAGCGGCGGACGGGUGAGUAAUGCCUAGGAAUCUGCCUGGUAGUGGGGGAUAACGCUCGGAAACGGACGCUAAUACCGCAUACGUCCUACGGGAGAAAGCAGGGGACCUUCGGGCCUUGCGCUAUCAGAUGAGC